GAUGAACGCUGGCGGCGUGCCUAAUACAUGCAAGUCGAGCGAACAGACGAGGAGCUUGCUCCUCUGACGUUAGCGGCUGACGGGUGAGUAACACGUGGAUAACCUACCUAUAAGACUGGGAUAACUUCGGGAAACCGGAGCUAAUACCGGAGAAUAUAUUGAACCGCAGGGUGCAAUAGUGAAAGACGGUUUUGCUGUCACUUAUAGAUGGAUCCGCGCCGCAUUAGCUAGUUGGUAAGGUAACGGCUUACCAAGGCAACGAUGCGUAGCCGACCUGAGAGGGUGAUCGGCCACACUGGAACUGAGACACGGUCCAGACUCCUACGGGAGGCAGCAGUAGGGAAUCUUCCGCAAUGGGCGAAAGCCUGACGGAGCAACGCCGCGUGAGUGAUGAAGGUCUUCGGAUCGUAAAGCUCUGUUAUUAGGGAAGAACAAAUGUGUAAGUAACUAUGCACGUCUUGACGGUACCUAAUCAGAAAGCCACGGCUAACUACGUG
This 497-nucleotide ribosomal RNA is filed under the name uncultured bacterium. Its description in RNAcentral is "partial 16S ribosomal RNA". It matches the Rfam family "Bacterial small subunit ribosomal RNA", at positions 28 to 507 of the family's 1533-position model. The record is from RNAcentral.